ACUCAAAUGAAUUGACGGGGACCCGCACAAGCAGAGGAGGAUGUGGUUUAAUAUGACGCUACGCGUAGAACCUUACCGAGGCUUGACAUCUUAGGAAUCCCGCAGAAAUGCGGGAGUGCCUUCGGGAGCCUAAUGACAGGUGCUGCAUGGCCGUCGUCAGCUCGUGUCGUGAGAUGUUGGGUUAAGUCCCGCAACGAGCGCAACCCUUCUCGUAUGUUGUAUUUUUCAUGCGAGACUGCCCGGGCCAACCGGGAGGAAGGUGGGGAUGAAGUCAGGUCGGCAUGGCCCUUACGCCUCGGGCCACACACGUCCUACAAUGGCCGGUACAACGCGUUGCCAAGCCGCGAGGCGGAGCUAAUCGCAACAAAACCGGUCUCAGUUCGGAUUGAAGGCUGCAACUCGCCUUCAUGAAGUCGGAUUUGCUAGUAAACGUGGGUCAGCACACCACGUUGAAUACGUUCCCGGGUCUUGCACACACCGCCCGU
RNAcentral lists this ribosomal RNA (485 nucleotides) under uncultured bacterium. Its description in RNAcentral is "partial 16S ribosomal RNA". It matches the Rfam family "Bacterial small subunit ribosomal RNA", at positions 899 to 1397 of the family's 1533-position model. The record is from RNAcentral.